This 160-nucleotide ribosomal RNA is filed under the name uncultured bacterium. RNAcentral describes it as "partial 16S ribosomal RNA". It matches the Rfam family "Bacterial small subunit ribosomal RNA", at positions 338 to 515 of the family's 1533-position model. The record is from RNAcentral.
CCUACGGGAGGCAGCAGUGGGGAAUAUUGCACAAUGGGGGAAACCCUGAUGCAGCGACGCCGCGUGGAGGAAGAAGGUCUUCGGAUUGUAAACUCCUGUUGUUGAGAAAGAUAAUGACGGUACUCAACAAGGAAGUGACGGCUAACUACGUGCCAGCAGC